This 298-nucleotide ribosomal RNA is filed under the name uncultured Mallomonas. RNAcentral's name for it is "partial large subunit ribosomal RNA". It matches the Rfam family "Eukaryotic large subunit ribosomal RNA", at positions 40 to 350 of the family's 3401-position model. Lineage: Eukaryota; Synurophyceae; Synurales; Mallomonadaceae. The record is from RNAcentral.
AUAUAAUUAAGCGGAGGAAAAGAAACUAACCAGGAUUCCCUUAGUAACGGCGAGUGAAGCGGGAAGAGCUCAGACUUGGAAUCUUCGGAAUUGUAGUCUGUAUAAGCUAGGUCAGCUAUCGCAAUCAGUAAAGUGUCCUGGAACGGACCACCAAGGAGGGUGACAGUCCCGUCUACACUGAUUGUUAAGGCGUACGACCGGUUUUCAAAGAGUCGAGUUGCUUGGGACUGCAGCUCUAAGUGGGUGGUAAAUUCCAUCUAAAGCUAAAUAUUGGUGGGAGACCGAUAGCGCACAAGUA